AUUGAACGCUGGCGGCAGGCCUAACACAUGCAAGUCGAGCGGAUGAAGGGAGCUUGCUCCUGGAUUCAGCGGCGGACGGGUGAGUAAUGCCUAGGAAUCUGCCUGGUAGUGGGGCAUAACGUCCGGAAACGGGCGCUAAUACCGCAUACGUCCUGAGGGAGAAAGUGGGGGAUCUUCGGACCUCACGCUAUCAGAUGAGCCUAGGUCGGAUUAGCUAGUUGGUGGGGUAAAGGCCUACCAAGGCGACGAUCCGUAACUGGUCUGAGAGGAUGAUCAGUCACACUGGAACUGAGACACGGUCCAGACUCCUACGGGAGGCAGCAGUGGGGAAUAUUGGACAAUGGGCCAAAGCCUGAUCCAGCCAUGCCGCGUGGGUGAAGAAGGUCUUCGGAUUGUAAAGCACUUUAAGUUGGGAGGAAGGGCAGUAAGUUAAUACCUUGCUGUUUUGACGUUACCAACAGAAUAAGCACCGGCUAACUUCGUG
Molecule: ribosomal RNA, 484 nt
Filed under: uncultured bacterium
Lineage: Bacteria
Description: partial 16S ribosomal RNA
Rfam family: Bacterial small subunit ribosomal RNA
Source: RNAcentral